GACGAACGCUGGCGGCGUGCCUAAUACAUGCAAGUCGAACGCUGAAGGAGGAGCUUGCUUCUCUGGAUGAGUUGCGAACGGGUGAGUAACGCGUAGGUAACCUGCCUUGUAGCGGGGGAUAACUAUUGGAAACGAUAGCUAAUACCGCAUAAGAGUAGAUGUUGCAUGACGUUUACUUGAAAGGUGCAAUUGCAUCACUACCAGAUGGACCUGCGGUGUAUUAGGUAGUUGUUGAGGUAACGGCUCACCAAGGCAACGAUACAUAGUCGAACGGAGAGGGUGGUUAGCCACACUGGGAGUGAGACCGGGCACAGACGGCCACGGGAGGGAGCAGGAGGGAAACUUGGGCCAUGGGCGGAAGGCUGACCGAGAAACGCCGAGGGAGGGAAGAAGGUUGUCGGGUCGGAAAGCUCGGUUGUAAGAGAAGAAAGAGUGUGAGAGUGGAAAGUUCACACUGUGACGGUAUCUUAUCAGAAAGGGACGGCUAACUACGUG
Molecule: ribosomal RNA, 495 nt
Filed under: uncultured bacterium
Lineage: Bacteria
Description: partial 16S ribosomal RNA
Rfam family: Bacterial small subunit ribosomal RNA
Source: RNAcentral